RNAcentral lists this transfer RNA (76 nucleotides) under Cordylochernes scorpioides. RNAcentral's name for it is "tRNA-Thr". The record is from RNAcentral. Lineage: Eukaryota; Metazoa; Arthropoda; Arachnida; Pseudoscorpiones; Chernetidae.
AGUGUCAAGGGAUGGGAAUCGAACCCACGACCUUCCGCUUACCGGGCAGAUGCCAUGACCAAUAGGCCACAUGACC